RNAcentral lists this ribosomal RNA (253 nucleotides) under uncultured bacterium. RNAcentral's name for it is "partial 16S ribosomal RNA". It matches the Rfam family "Bacterial small subunit ribosomal RNA", at positions 524 to 776 of the family's 1533-position model. The record is from RNAcentral.
UACGUAGGGACCGAGCGUUGUCCGGAAUCAUUGGGCGUAAAGAGCGUGUAGGCGGCUUGCUAAGUCUUGCGUGAAAUCUCGGGGCUCAACCCCGAGCGGUCGUGGGAAACUGGCAGGCUAGAGUGCGGGAGAGGAGAAUGGAAUUCCUGGUGUAGCGGUGAAAUGCGCAGAUAUCAGGAGGAACACCGGUGGCGAAGGCGGGUCUCUGGGCAGUAACUGACGCUGAGGAGCGAAAGCGUGGGGAGCGAACAGG